Molecule: ribosomal RNA, 465 nt
Filed under: Vreelandella stevensii
Lineage: Bacteria; Pseudomonadati; Pseudomonadota; Gammaproteobacteria; Oceanospirillales; Halomonadaceae
Description: partial 16S ribosomal RNA
Rfam family: Bacterial small subunit ribosomal RNA
Source: RNAcentral
CCUGCGGGGGGCAGCAGUGGGGAAUAUUGGACAAUGGGCGAAAGCCUGAUCCAGUCAUGCCGCGUGUGUGAAGAAGGCCUUCGGGUUGUAAAGCACUUUCAGUGGGGAAGAAAGCCUUGGGGCUAAUACCCUCGAGGAAGGACAUCACCCACAGAAGAAGCACCGGCUAACUCCGUGCCAGCAGCCGCGGUAAUACGGAGGGUGCGAGCGUUAAUCGGAAUUACUGGGCGUAAAGCGCGCGUAGGCGGUCUGAUAAGCCGGUUGUGAAAGCCCCGGGCUCAACCUGGGAACGGCAUCCGGAACUGUCAGGCUAGAGUGCAGGAGAGGAAGGUAGAAUUCCCGGUGUAGCGGUGAAAUGCGUAGAGAUCGGGAGGAAUACCAGUGGCGAAGGCGGCCUUCUGGACUGACACUGACGCUGAGGUGCGAAAGCGUGGGUAGCAAACAGGAUUAGAUACCCCAGUAGUC